UCUUUGCCAGUGUGUGGUUUGGGAGUUCUGUGAAGUGUUUGCAGUCGCUACUAAUAAUCCAGGUGACACGGCAAACAUUGCUGUUCCCUUGGUCCAGCACAAAUAGAGGAGGGUUCACUCAUAGGCAGCAUCUGAGCAACAGGCUCACCAGAUAUCAGCCUCUCCACACCGACUCUUCCAAACUCCAGCUCUCUUCAUUAAGAUAUUCUGGAAGCAACUGAGGAGUUUCUACAAACGUCUGGGAAAUUACAAUUCAAGUGGAAGUUUGUUUUCCUUUCAGUUAAGGUACGAGCUGUUCUGACUGCCGUGCAGGCAUUCACACGCCCGCUGCUAGAAAGCUGGAGCUGGAAGGAGCACUGGGGCCCGCUGAGUCCUCCUUUCUCAUGUAUGGAUGUGGAUGUGGAGGCAGGCCCUAAGUAUUAGUGUAGGUGCCGACGGUGCAGGUUGACUCACUUAAAGAAGAAUUUGAAUCAUUAUCUAACAGAAAAAAGACCAAUAACAAGCAUUAUUGCUGGAACAUUUUAUGGGUAGACUGCUUUCUAUACAUGAUUGGUGAACAUUGUAUUUCAAUUAAUUAUAUAUCCUGAUAAUAUAUGAAUUAAUACUGUGAUAUCAUGCAUACAAUAACAAUACUCAAUGGAAAUAUAGCAAAACAGAAAUGAAAAUAA
RNAcentral lists this small RNA (668 nucleotides) under Pongo abelii (Sumatran orangutan). RNAcentral describes it as "processed transcript". The record is from RNAcentral. Lineage: Eukaryota; Metazoa; Chordata; Mammalia; Primates; Hominidae.